This 913-nucleotide ribosomal RNA is filed under the name Mucor sp. 795_3_CY04. RNAcentral's name for it is "eukaryotic LSU rRNA". It matches the Rfam family "Eukaryotic large subunit ribosomal RNA", at positions 90 to 914 of the family's 3401-position model. Lineage: Eukaryota; Fungi; Mucoromycota; Mucoromycetes; Mucorales; Mucoraceae. The record is from RNAcentral.
CGAGUGAAGAGGAAAGAGCUCAAAGUUGGAAACUGUUUGGCUUAGCUAAACCGUAUUGUAAACUGUAGAAACAUUUUCCUGGCACACCAGAUUAAUAAGUCCUUUGGAACAAGGCAUCAUGGAGGGUGAGAAUCCCGUCUUUGAUCUGAGUAGUUGUCUUUUGUGAUAUGUUUUCAAAGAGUCAGGUUGUUUGGGAAUGCAGCCUAAAUUGGGUGGUAAAUCUCACCUAAAGCUAAAUAUUUGCGAGAGACCGAUAGCGAACAAGUACCGUGAGGGAAAGAUGAAAAGAACUUUGAAAAGAGAGUUAAACAGUAUGUGAAAUUGUUAAAAGGGAACCGUUUGGAGCCAGACUGGUUUGACUGUAAUCAACCUAGAAUUCGUUUUGGGUGCACUUGCAGUCUAUACCUGCCAACAACAGUUUGAUUUGGAGGAAAAAAUUAGUAGGAAUGUGGCCUUUCGAGGUGUUAUAGCCUACUAUCAUACUCUGGAUUGGACUGAGGAACGCAGCGAAUGCCAUUAGGCGAGAUUGCUGGGUGCUUUCGCUAAUAAAUGUUAGAAUUUCUGCUUCGGGUGGUGCUAAUGUUUAAAGGAGGAACACAUCUAGUAUAUUUUUUAUUCGCUUAGGUUGUUGGCUUAAUGACUCUAAAUGACCCGUCUUGAAACACGGACCAAGGAGUCCACCAUAAGUGCAAGUAUUUGAGUGACAAACUCAUAUGCGUAAGGAAACUGAUUGAUACGAAGUCUUACGAUGGCAGUAUCACCCGGCGUUGACGUUUUAUACUGAACUGACCGAGGUAAAGCACUUAUGAUGGGACCCGAAAGAUGGUGAACUAUGCCUGAAUAGGGUGAAGCCAGAGGAAACUCUGGUGGAGGCUCGUAGCGAUUCUGACGUGCAAAUCGAUCGUCAAUUUGG